GACGUAGGGGGCGAGCGUUGUCCGGAUUUAUUGGGCGUACAGAGCGCGUAGUCGGCCCGGAAAGUCGGAUGUGAAAACCCGGGGCUCAACCCCGGGCCUGCAUCCGAUACUCCCGGGCUGGAGGCAGGUAGGGGAGAUCGGAAUUCCUGGUGUAGCGGUGAAAUGCGCAGAUAUCAGGAGGAACACCGGUGGCGAAGGCGGAUCUCUGGGCCUGUCCUGACGCUGAGGCGCGAAAGCGUGGGGAGCGAACAGG
Molecule: ribosomal RNA, 253 nt
Filed under: uncultured bacterium
Lineage: Bacteria
Description: partial 16S ribosomal RNA
Rfam family: Bacterial small subunit ribosomal RNA
Source: RNAcentral